UACGUAGGUGGCAAGCGUUGUCCGGAUUUAUUGGGUUUAAAGGGUGCUUAGGCGGUCUAUUAAGUCAGUGCUGAAAUAUCCCGGCUUAACCGGGAGGGUGGCAUUGAUACUGAUGGACUUGAGUAAAGUUGAGGUAGGCGGAAUUGACGGUGUAGCGGUGAAAUGCUUAGAUAUCGUCAAGAACACCGAUAGUGUAGACAGCUUACUAAGCUUUAACUGACGCUGAGGCACGAAAGUGUGGGGAUCGAACAGG
RNAcentral lists this ribosomal RNA (253 nucleotides) under uncultured bacterium. Its description in RNAcentral is "partial 16S ribosomal RNA". It matches the Rfam family "Bacterial small subunit ribosomal RNA", at positions 524 to 776 of the family's 1533-position model. The record is from RNAcentral.